RNAcentral lists this ribosomal RNA (253 nucleotides) under uncultured bacterium. RNAcentral's name for it is "partial 16S ribosomal RNA". It matches the Rfam family "Bacterial small subunit ribosomal RNA", at positions 524 to 776 of the family's 1533-position model. The record is from RNAcentral.
UACGAAGGGGGCUAGCGUUGUUCGGAUUUACUGGGCGUAAAGCGCACGUAGGCGGUUUGUUAAGUGAGAGGUGAAAUCCCAGAGCUCAACUCUGGAACUGCCUUUGAUACUGGGUAUCUUGAGUAUGGAAGAGGUAAGUGGAAUUGCGAGUGUAGAGGUGAAAUUCGUAGAUAUUCGCAGGAACACCAGUGGCGAAGGCGGCUUACUGGUCCAUAACUGACGCUGAGGUGCGAAAGCGUGGGGAGCAAACAGG